This is a long non-coding RNA of Colius striatus (speckled mousebird), 3887 nucleotides long. RefSeq lists it as uncharacterized. The record is from RefSeq and is a predicted model, not a curated record. The transcript has 4 exons. Lineage: Eukaryota; Metazoa; Chordata; Aves; Coliiformes; Coliidae.
CGAAAGUGUCCAGGUAGGUGUAGUGAAGUUCAUCUGAAGCACGGUUGAUUUCAUAGGGGCUGUCCACAUGGAUAUUCCUGUGGAUAAAACCACACAGUCUCACAUGACUCCACAGCGUUGGAGAUGAUGUAACCCAGGACUUGGCCAAACCAUGGCCUCUAGCAUGAGGCCAAUUAUGCAGCUUAACACUGUAAAAGGGAGCAAAGCUUGUCUUCCAAGGUCUCCUCCACAUGCAGAGUCAUGGUUUUGUUUUGCUGUCCUCGGGCCAUUAGAGGCUGGAGAACUGCCACCACCAACACAGCACUGUCUGCGGUAAGAAACCAGGAGUAAUGACACUUACUUGGCACCUUCUGGCAGGACAAUCUUGACAGUCAGAGAGUCUGUGACUUGCUCAUCAAACACGUGGUCAACAAACCUCAUUUUCAGAGCAUACUGAUCACCUAAGGGUGCAGAGCAGAGGGGUGGUUACAACUCCUCAAAGAACAAGGGGCCUUGAAGCCUUGAAGCUCAGCUACAAAUAGCAGCGUGAGCAGAACACGGGUGGAUGUGUUUGCAGCAGGGGGCCCUGGUUCACCCAAGAAUAUUUUAACCAGAUGCCUACAGAAACCUGAAGGAAGCACAGAAAAGGGGCAUUUGCAUACUGCAGAAACACCAGCUAGCAACUGCUCUUGCUAAGGUGCAGCAGACCACAGCUUCGAAUUCUUUACUGUCAAGCAACCACAUUUAACCAGAAAGGAGGUGGUUUCUCUUGCCCUCCCCUGUGCCACUCACCAAGAUUGUAGAGGUACUCGUAGCUGGGCAGGUUGUAGCCGAUGAUGUAAUGGGUUUUCCACCCCCCGAAGAGUGGGAAGCGGGGCCGGAUCUCCAUCUCCACAGAGUCAUCCAGGACAAGGAGGUGGCUGGUGGAGAUGUUUCCAAUUUCAUCUCUGUAAUAGACGUCCUGAGCAGCAGCUGGGAGAAUGGUCUGCAGGGAGAGAGGCAGCAGCCAGUGCAGCGGCCAGGAGAUGCUUCCAGUGACACUGGCAAAAGCCAUGAUGGCUUUUAAACACUGAGAAACUCUGCUCCCGUGUGAGAGCUGACAAAAUGGCCAUUCAGCUCCACUGAGUGCUAACAUUGUGCUAUUAUAAGCAAUCAGCCACAGAAGUGGCUGCCAGCACUAAAAUCACUUGGCUUCUAAAUGAAUGUGCUUUCUCUAGCCCAGUCUCAAAUAUCCCAGGCAGCAAGGGAGCUCAUCAUGCCCACCAGGACAGCAAUUCCCUCUUCACUCCAGCCUGCAGCCCGAGCUCACCAGCUUUACACUCAGCAAAAUGAGAUUUCUGUUUGGCUGCACCACCUUAGAGAAUUACAACAAUCAGUCCUGGAGCCUUCAAGCAGCAAGAAAGGCUUUGGUUCAGAUGAAAACAUGUAGAACUCCUCACAUCUGUCUAGCAGAGCCACAGCUUUAACUGCUGUGGAGUGCUUUGUGAGUAAGGAAUGAAUGGGUGAGUUUCCAAUUAAUACCGUUCAACGUGAUGAAGACGUGACAGAGAAGGCAACUCUGAAAAUGAAGAGGGUGGGGAUAGAAUGGUGCUUGCACUGUGGAAAAUGGAAAGCAGAGCUGUCAGCACAGGGAUUAGGGGUUUUAGAGUCCCUCACACCGGAGGGGUAGGAGUGUGGAUAAACCCUGCGUGCCCUGGUAUAUGCAGCUGUUUGGACAACAGAUGCAGUAAAGAAUAUAAAUUCCUAAUUCUCUCUCCAAAAGCUAUUCCAAUAUAGCAGGAGCCUUCCCUGAAACCACAUCAGAGCUCUAACAUUCCCUUGUUACUUGGGUAUGGUUGCCAAAGAAAAAGCAAAGAGACAACGGUAAUUUUUUCCCCCUCUGGGGAUACAAGAAACGGAGAAGCCAACAGUAAACAAAGACAUAUACAAAAUGUCAACCUUGAAAGACUUGACAGAAGAGAUGCCACUGUCUGGUUGUCUCUGGUAGUCGUAUCUGGAGAAGGGCCCUUUCAGCACUGCUCCCGUGUGCUUCAAAUCAACCGUCUCUUCAACUGCAAUGUUCCCCCAGUGGGACACCUCGAUGACCCGGGUCAUGCUGGUAAUGGUCAGGAAGGGGCUGUUGUUUUCAUAGUGCACCUUCAGGGUGUCCUAACAAAGGAAAAGGGAAACUCUUAGACCUAAAGCAAGCAGCAACCUCUCCUCACAGUCACCUGUCUCCACAUCCCACAGAAAAACGUCCUCGACAGGCCCUGCAGAGGUGAAGCUGAGCGCAGGGGACAGUCUGAGCCACUCUAGCCUUGCUGGCACAGCCCAGGGCAGGGGACACCUAGGGUGUCCUCACAGGUGACCCUGCACAUGGCUGAGCUGUCAUGGUGAGGGGGCUAGAGGUGCAGUCUACCCCAGUGCAAAUGCACCCUGCUAGGACCGUGCACAAACUGCCUUUGGCUUGCUCUGUGGACACCAAGCAGUGCUCUGCAAUUGCAUCUGUACUUGGAGCACCUGGCUGCAGCCUGUGUUCCCAGCCUGCACCUUAAACAAAAGCCUCCCCUUCCCACUCUGCAGCCUCUGAGACACAGGUGUUUGCAAGAUGCUCUGUGCAGAGCCAUAACCCCUUUGCCCCGAGGUUCACCUGGCUGUAUGGAGGAAUGUCCUUGAAGGGGCCGUACUCAAUGGUGUCCUCAGUGCGGGAAGGGUUGCCCAGCUUGCUGUAGCUCUCCACGUUCCUGGAGGCCAGUUUGACCCGAGUUGUUUGGGUCUUGGUCAAGUAUGGGGAGUAGAAAUAGUGGUUUCCUUCAAAGACCACGAACUGCUUCUCACUCUGGGUGAUGUGGGUGGGGUAGGGCUGCAGGACGUGCGUGAAAACCAUUUCAACAGACACACGGACCUUGGCUCCUGGUGCCAGAGGAGAUGGCAGCUUCACAGAGAAGAAUUUCCCACUGGAAAGGAGAACCACAGGAUGUGAAGCUAAGGAAGUACUAGAAAAUGAGCACCAUUUUGGACUGAGGUUCUACAGACAGGAUCAAGGCUUCCCCAGACCUGUAAGGAUGCAUCAGAUGGACUGAGGCCAGGACAGAAGUGAAUGCCCUUCAAGUCAUUCCUGGUGGCUCAACAGUAGAGUCACAUGAGGCCUUCAGCUCUCACAGCUCAGAAAGCACCUGCCUGCCCAGCCUGUAUCUGCACAACACCCCGAGCCCAGCCGUGCAGGACAGCACCAAGGGCACCGUGGCACUCCCCAGCGCAGCCCGAGUGCUCUGGGGACACAGCCAAGGAGCACCUGCAGCCUUCCUGUCAUCACCACUGCCCAGCACUGAGAGCUCAAAAAGGGGCAAUGGGAGGGCUCUCAUUGAAAGCUGUGAGUGGCUACAAGAAGCAGGUAUGUGCUGGGCUCAGAGCAGACAGAUAAAACCAUGUGUGCAAUCUCUCAAGGAAGGAGCAUCUGAGGGAGGGGAAUUGCUUCUCCUGGGGCUUCUUGGGAUGCAGGAAUUGGUUUGGCUGCUUGUGUGACCUACAGUUCCUGGUGCUGUAGCACCCCAGGAUGCAGCCUGAGUCAAGUGGAGCUUUUCAAGAACAAAAGCACUCGAGGAUCUCCAGGUAUGUGAGACUGGGUUAGUAUUUCUGCUCUACCUUGAGGACGAUGAUGGAAUGACCAUUCAUGACUCCAGGUGCUGACCUUAGAGACUGACACUCACCUCUUGCCCUUAACUUUUGUUUCUCUCACUUCCAAGGUGUUCUCCUCCUCUUCCUCACCCUUCACCUGUUCCAAAACAACAGACUGGUCAGUGUGCUGCUGUUUGAAAGACUUAACAUGUCCAAGGCAAACUUCACGUGGUCUCUAUCCACUUUUUAAGGGGAUGCCCCCAGAAAGCAGAUGGAGAACUAUCAAAAAAAACAAACCAACACUUUUAUAA